This 1427-nucleotide ribosomal RNA is filed under the name Lactococcus lactis. Its description in RNAcentral is "bacterial SSU rRNA". It matches the Rfam family "Bacterial small subunit ribosomal RNA". Lineage: Bacteria; Bacillati; Bacillota; Bacilli; Lactobacillales; Streptococcaceae. The record is from RNAcentral.
CAGUUGAGCGCUGAGGUUGGUACUUGUACCGACUGGAUGAGCAGCGAACGGGUGAGUAACGCGUGGGGAAUCUGCCUUUGAGCGGGGGACAACAUUUGGAAACGAAUGCUAAUACCGCAUAAAAACUUUAAACACAAGUUUUAAGUUUGAAAGAUGCAAUUGCAUCACUCAAAGAUGAUCCCGCGUUGUAUUAGCUAGUUGGUGAGGUAAAGGCUCACCAAGGCGAUGAUACAUAGCCGACCUGAGAGGGUGAUCGGCCACAUUGGGACUGAGACACGGCCCAAACUCCUACGGGAGGCAGCAGUAGGGAAUCUUCGGCAAUGGACGAAAGUCUGACCGAGCAACGCCGCGUGAGUGAAGAAGGUUUUCGGAUCGUAAAACUCUGUUGGUAGAGAAGAACGUUGGUGAGAGUGGAAAGCUCAUCAAGUGACGGUAACUACCCAGAAAGGGACGGCUAACUACGUGCCAGCAGCCGCGGUAAUACGUAGGUCCCGAGCGUUGUCCGGAUUUAUUGGGCGUAAAGCGAGCGCAGGUGGUUUAUUAAGUCUGGUGUAAAAGGCAGUGGCUCAACCAUUGUAUGCAUUGGAAACUGGUAGACUUGAGUGCAGGAGAGGAGAGUGGAAUUCCAUGUGUAGCGGUGAAAUGCGUAGAUAUAUGGAGGAACACCGGUGGCGAAAGCGGCUCUCUGGCCUGUAACUGACACUGAGGCUCGAAAGCGUGGGGAGCAAACAGGAUUAGAUACCUGGUAGUGCACGCCGUAAACGAUGAGUGCUAGAUGUAGGGAGCUAUAAGUUCUCUGUAUCGCAGCUAACGCAAUAAGCACUCCGCCUGGGGAGUACGACCGCAAGGUUGAAACUCAAAGGAAUUGACGGGGGCCCGCACAAGCGGUGGAGCAUGUGGUUUAAUUCGAAGCAACGCGAAGAACCUUACCAGGUCUUGACAUACUCGUGCUAUUCCUAGAGAUAGGAAGUUCCUUCGGGACACGGGAUACAGGUGGUGCAUGGUUGUCGUCAGCUCGUGUCGUGAGAUGUUGGGUUAAGUCCCGCAACGAGCGCAACCCCUAUUGUUAGUUGCCAUCAUUAAGUUGGGCACUCUAACGAGACUGCCGGUGAUAAACCGGAGGAAGGUGGGGAUGACGUCAAAUCAUCAUGCCCCUUAUGACCUGGGCUACACACGUGCUACAAUGGAUGGUACAACGAGUCGCGAGACAGUGAUGUUUAGCUAAUCUCUUAAAACCAUUCUCAGUUCGGAUUGUAGGCUGCAACUCGCCUACAUGAAGUCGGAAUCGCUAGUAAUCGCGGAUCAGCACGCCGCGGUGAAUACGUUCCCGGGCCUUGUACACACCGCCCGUCACACCACGGGAGUUGGGAGUACCCGAAGUAGGUUGCCUAACCGCAAGGAGGGCGCUUCCUAAGGUAAGACCGAUG